GAGGUAUUUUGACUGUGCUAAGGUAGCGAAGUCAUUAGUUUCUUUAUUGGGAACUUGUAUGAGUGGAGUAAUAGGUGCUUUUAUGAAUUGAGCUUAAAGUGAAUUUGAUUUUUCUAAGAAAAGUUAGAAGUUUUCCUAAAGACGAGAAGACCCCAAAAUCUUUAUUUUAAUUUAUAGGAUUUAAUUUUUAUUUGGGGGAAAGAUUGAUUUUUAUUUAUUGUUUUAUUAUUGCGAACUUUUUUAGGGUGUAUGGAUAGAUACUUUGGGGGUAACAGGAUUAUUUUCUUUUGAAGUUCUUAUUUUAGGGGAAGUUUAUUACCUCGAUGUUGGCUUUUGA
This 337-nucleotide ribosomal RNA is filed under the name Demodex folliculorum. Its description in RNAcentral is "partial 16S ribosomal RNA". Lineage: Eukaryota; Metazoa; Arthropoda; Arachnida; Trombidiformes; Demodicidae. The record is from RNAcentral.